GUGAGAACAGUCAGCCUGCGACGGUUUGGAACGUGGGAACCUAGCUGUCAGCCGCUUGGGUUGGGGAAGGAAGAGCAGAGGUUAAGUCGGAGAGUACGGUGUAAUGUACUUUCCAGUCAUAGCUACCGAGCUGUGUGACUAUGGAAAACAUGAACGGUUUGCAGCCUUUGAAGGGGUUGACCACAGCGUUCCCGCCCUUUGCCCUGGUAGAAAUGGGCUCGGGAGCCAAGGUAAAAAUCGGGGCAACAGCGAGGCCAUGUUCUUUGGGAAUUGGGCCAACCGAUCCUUCAUUCCCGUCACCGUCACGACAGAUUACCUGAAAGUGCUGGGAAUAUGGCUCAGAGGGCCUAGGGCAUGCACAAAAUCUGAGAGGAGUGCAUCGCCAAAGUGAAGCAGAAAUUGGUCUUCUGGAAGCACUGUUCCUUGUCCGUUGCGGGGAUAAACCUGGUUAUCAGGUGUGAAGCACUCUGUCUCUGAUGCUGUAAACGACACAGGUCUGGCCUGCCUCCCGUCACUGAUGUUUCAAUCACCUGAGUCAUCUUCUAUUUCAUCUGGAAGCCUAAGAUAGACUGGGCCUGCAGGAACUCCAUGUAUAAAACUCUGGAUGGUGGUGGCAGAGAACGUUCCCACUGUUGCCCUCCUGAUGGCCACCUUUGUGUUUUAUCAUACAGACCUUUCAUCACCAUGCUGGGUAACAUCAGUGCGGCAUCCAAUGAAGCAAAACUGUUCUACUCCACUUGGAAUUUAUAUGAUCUGCUCUGUCGAGUUGUGUUGUGCCAUUUCCUGUUCUUUUUUGCAUGGGUUUGUACAUGAGGUCUAAUUCCACAUGUUUGUUGAUUGCAUUAUGGGUUGAAAACCAGUGCAUAUCUGUUGUUGGCUUGAGCCAGGAUGGUCCCAUUGUUCCAGUUAAAUUGAUGGCCACAUUGUCUGAGUGCACUGUGAUGAGGGAAAGUUUGUCAUGUUGUUUUUCUGCCACCUGGUGUUCAUGUAUCCUGAUGGCUAGUUUCCUUCCAGUCUGGCUAUUGUAAUGUUUGUUGCAGUCAUUGGAAGGUAUUUUUGUAAACUAUGUUGGUCUUACACGUCAUGGGUAUGGGUUCUUUGGUCCUUGUGGGUGUUUGUUGUAGUGUAGCUGUGGAUUUGUGUCCUGCCAUGAUUCCUAGUGGUCAUAGGAGUCUCGUCAGUUCUGAUAUGUUCAUGAUAUAGGAUAGUGUGAUGUGUCCUGUUGGUGUUGCCUAUCUAGACGGCACCUGCGGAUGAAAUUGUUGGGAUGUCUGUUAUUAACAGAUACCUUGUAUAGGUGCUCUUCCUCCUUUCUACGUAGUUCUGGCAUGUUGCAGUGUAUUGCGGCUCAUUGGAAUAAUGUCCUAACACAGCUUUGUUUGUGGACGUUGGGUGAUUGCUGUGGAAAUUGAGGAUUUGGUCAAUAUGGGUUGCCUUCCUGUGUACUGUGAACUCCCCAUUGGUCAUUCGUUCUACCCUGACAUCUUGGAAUGGAAGUUGAUUGUUGUCUUCAUCUUCUUUUGUAAAUUUGACCCUAGGACUCGGGACUUAUUGCAGGGGCAGUCAUGCAAAGACUGGAGUGCACAAACCUGCCCCUCAUACAGCCAGAACUGUGGAUCUGAUACAUGGAUGAUGCAUCAUCAUUAAACCAAGUUAGAAGAAACGCACCAUCUUAUCAAAAACAUUUUCACCAGGAUCAAAUUAAUGAACAACGGAUAUCUCAAUAAUUUCAUCCACAGGUGCCUACUAGAUGGAUGAAGCUAAAUAACCAGCCAGCAAAGCGAGCAAGCCAACAACCUCAUCCACAAGCCAAGCUACAAAUCUUAACAAGAACAUUAAACCUUUGUGUUUGGCUACAUGAAGCUGUGCAUAGACCCUUAGUACACAACACCAAGUGCCACUGCAUACUGAGGUUUUACCUGUCCCUCAGUGUUUCAAGGGAUGGGACUGGCCUUGCUGCCACAUCCCCUAUCACUUCUCCUUCAUCGAGAAAUUUGCAAAGCACCUUUGACUAGCAGUCCAUCAGGAAGUGUACCCUGAGAGAAAAGAAGAGGGUGGAUCCUGUUGCAUGGUUCCCUAAGAAAAUUGUCAAAGUCAUUUGGCAGAAUGCCUCAUCACCCGAACUUCGGAAAAGCACCAAGACGUUGCUUGGCUUUUGCUGAUAAGGGAAGUACCUGGGAGAUCCUUUAUGUCUGCACUACUGCCCGCUGCUCUUGAAGUGGCUGGUUCGGAGGUUUGAAGAUGGAGGGUGGUGGUGAUGGGGGGCUGCUGGUGAGGGGUAUUGAGGUUGAGACUGUGACACAUCUCCUUCUGGAAUAUGCCUCUGCCAAAGAAGUCUGGAGGAAGAUGCAUGGUUUGUGUCAAGGUUUGUCUUAAGCAGCUCCGUGACACGGGACUGUGCCCUGUACGGUCUGUUCACCAGGACACACACCGAGACAAACAUUAGCUGGAGCUGGAGUACCAUCAAUUCAGUGAAAGACGCUCUUUGAUUUGCUCAAGACUUGUUAGUCAUUCAGAACAAGGAGCCAACCUCAACUCGGUGUUGCAGACUGGCACAUUUCAAAGUCUGGGACUGCAUGCUGAGGGACACACUAAAGUUUGGGGCAGCUGCCAUCAAAGCACAGUGGGGAAGGACCACUGCUGAAGUCUUCCAGCUAAAAGUAAAUGAGUGUCCUUCCAGUUAUUGGACCCUCCUAGUGCCUCAAAUAUAGGUCAGAGAGAGGUAGAGGAAACUGUCCAAACUCCAGAAAACCAUGCAGAACCUGCUCCUGCUGCAGACGAUGGAGUUAAUGUCACGGAUGAUCUCCAAGAAGUAAAGAGCCAGCAAGCCUCCCUCUUUGCCCAAGAAAAUCUUCUGCACCAAGAUCCACCCCAUGGAGCGGGAUGAAACAUGCUCGUGUUUCUUCUUCCAGAAGGUGUACAAGGAGAACUCUGUGCUCAGCAGCCUGGAGGAAGAAGAUAACUUGUUAACAUCAUUUCAGUCUGACAUACUGAGGAUCAGCAAAUGCUUUUAUGCCAGUCUGUAUGACACAAAGUCCACAGACAGUAAUUCCUGUCAUCUAUCAUGGAAGUCUUAGAUGAUAGCACAGGAGAGAGGAUGGACCAGCUGUUAUAUCUGGAUGAACUGACAAAAGCUCUCGAGUAGAAAAGUAUAAAACUUUCAGAAGUGACAGCUUACCAGCCAGGUUGUGUUCAGCUGUAUGGAACUUGAUUGGCUAGGACCUGUGGGUAUGUUUCUGUCAGAUAGCAUGUGCAAAUCAAGAGGAAAGGUAGCAUCACCCUCAUCCACAAGCAAAAUUGGGGGGGAGGGAGGAAAUUAGAAAUUGGCAACCAAUCUCAUUGCUGAAUGAAGAUUAUGAAAUCCUGCCUAAGGCCAUCGGCAACCAGGUCAGGUCUGCUCUGGAAUUGGUGCUUUACCCCAACCCAUCCAAACCUGGGUUAUACUGGGCUGGUUGAUCUCUGAGACCCUUGCACACUUCAGGAAUGUGAUUACCUAUGCCUGCCUCAUCAGCUUGGACCAGGAGAAGGCCUUUGACAAGAUAUUGUACACGUACAUGUGGGGCGUGCUGUACAAAAUAGGAUUUGGGGAGGGAAUCUGCAAUUGGGUUUGAUUGCUGUACACCAACAUCGUUACUGCAGUUUCAAAAAAUGGGUGGGAAUCAAAAAGCUUCUCAUUCAGGCUUCCCAUUUGGAUUCAGAGUCAGGCAGGGCUGCUCACUCUGUCCUGCCUUGCUUGAUUGUUGAAUAGAGCCUUUUGCUGAGUCCAUCGGGAAGGAUGCAAGCCUAAAAGGGGUAACUAUUCCAGGCAGCGGAAGCCAGCAGGUCGACGCCUCCUUGUAUGUGGAUGACAACGCUGCUUUCUGCUGAAUCCGCUGUCUGUGUGCAGACUCAUGAACAUCUGUGAUUAGUUCGAACUGGCCUCAGUCGGUUGCAUCACCACAAGCUGCCCUCAAAGCAGCUGCAGGGGUAGAUUGAGACUGUUACACAUCUGCUGGAAUAUGCCUUUGCAAAGAAUGAUUGGAGAACGAUGCAGUGGUUUCUGUCAAGAUUUGUCCCGGACCAGCUCUGUGACGUGCACUCUGUGCAAUACAGUCUGCUUCCCAGGACACACACCGAGACAAACACCAGCUGCUCCUGGAGGCCCAUCAACUUGGUGAAGGACAUUCUUUCAACUGCCCGAAACUUGUUGACUUUCCAGAACAAGGAGUUGAUCUCAACCAAGUGUUGCAGACUGGCGCAUUCCAAAGUCCAGGGCCAUGUAUUGUGGGACACACUAAAAUCUGGGGAUGCUGCUGCCAAGACACAUUGGGUAAAGACCACUUUCUGAGGUCUUCCUGCUUAAGUAAUGGCAUUCCGUUCAGUUAUCAGAUCCUCCCAGUGCCUCAAAUGCAUGUAAAUAUAGUAUUGUAUACUUAAGAGAGGUUUAUUUUGGAUAGAGUCAAUGAUUGUUUGUUUCCUUGAUAUGCUACUAUACAGAACAAAACUGCAUUUGUGUACAUGUGUAUAAAAAGAUAAUUUUUAUGAAUAAGGUAUAUUUUUGAAAUUAAGAAAGGUCUUCCAGAGCAGGGAGUUGACUUCAAUAGAGUGUUGCAAACAUAUCCCAAGGUGCAGUACUUUGUACUGAGGGAUGCACUAAAGCCUGGAGCAGCUGUUGCCAAAGCGCAGUGGGGAAAGACCACAGUCUUAGGUCUUUCUGCCAAAGUACAAUGGGGGUCUAGUCAGUUAUCCAACCAUCCCGUUUCCUCAAAUGCAUGUAAAUAUAGUCUUGCAUAAGUAAGAAAUGUCUUGGGUUUGUUUGUUCUACAUAUGCAAAGACUGUGUAGAAUUGAACUGUUGUUGUGACUGUGUAUAUAGACUUCUAUGAAGAAAGUAUAUUUUUGAAAUAAAACAAGUUCCUUUUGGAAUGCGCAUUUGCAAAGAA
Molecule: long non-coding RNA, 4921 nt
Organism: Stegostoma tigrinum
Lineage: Eukaryota; Metazoa; Chordata; Chondrichthyes; Orectolobiformes; Stegostomatidae
Exons: 2
Source: RefSeq, a predicted model, not a curated record